Aegilops tauschii subsp. strangulata is the source of this 1921-nucleotide long non-coding RNA. RefSeq lists it as uncharacterized. Lineage: Eukaryota; Viridiplantae; Streptophyta; Magnoliopsida; Poales; Poaceae. The record is from RefSeq and is a predicted model, not a curated record.
GAAGAGGCGCGCGAGGGGAUCCAGCGCCGUGGGCGAUAAUGAUCGGCGCCUCAUCUGUCGGAAACUGCUCGCAAUCAUACCUCAGAUUCUUAGCGCGCAUUCAUGCCGAUUGAUGUGCCAAUCCUUUCCGCUGCCGAGCGGUACCUGUAUAUAUGCUACCUUCCUCCUCUGGUACUUUUCACUCUCCCUCUCUACGCCGGCAGCAAAACAUCUUUCAAGAUCAUGCCGGGUGAUGUUCAUGCUAGCGGUGCUGGAUUGAUUUCAUUUUGGAGCUUCGUACUGGAAUUUUUUGGUGUUGGUAAUCUCAAAUCUUUUGGACAGUUAACACCAAUAUUUUUAUGCCGCACGAUUGCUUACAUUACAUCUUCCCUGUUGAUGCUCCACUACUUUUAGUUUCACUGGAGAUUUCCAUGCUCUUUGUACUUGCGCCUCUUGAAGAUGGGGCAUAUCCUUCCUUUUGUUUAGACAAAGUGUCAGUAUGUGUUUUCCUUUUGAUGUUCAGAAGCAGAGGCCGAUUGUGCUUCUGAACUAGCAGUGUCUAAGGCCAAUAUGUCGCUGUUACAUACAGACCUACCAGGUUCAUUGGAGUUCUGCUUGAUGGAACUUUCUGUUUGCUUCCACUUUUUCACUAUUAUCUUUUGUGCGUGGGUUUUCUGAAGCUCCCAGAAAAGUGACACCACUAGCCUUUCGUGCAAUAAUUUUUCUUAUAAUCUUGCCAUAUUUUGGAGGCAGAGGUUUUCCCUUACUAUACAUUACACAUGUUGGGAAAUACCAAUCUGCAUUAGACAUGCCUUCAUUCCCAUCCGGCUGAAGGCAAUUUAAGUGUAUACCUCUCUUGCAAGCAUCACAACAGUGGUGAAUGUUUUACAUGUUUGACAGUCCAGCCGAGCAUGCAUAUACUCACUUGAUGGUAGCAUCCAGCUAGGAUGAUUGGCAGUUGAACGAGAAGCAGUAUUUCUGUUGAACAAAUGUUGCUGCUCCCGGUGGAACUUCAUCUCCUAUAAUAGUGUUUCCGUUGACAGGUUGAGUCAUAGGUGCCUUCUUUUCCUGAGACUUCAGUGUUACUCUGUUGCUUGUUCUUAAAAAAAAGAUUCCUGGCGUUCCUUCCAUCACAUUAGAGUACACAUGCUCUCGCUCCGUGGCCAGUCAUGUAGAACUGGCCUCACCACUGUAAGAUCUAUGUCACAAGUUACAAGCGAGUUUGUAUGUUCUCUCCAUUAUUGCUUUAUCCUGGUUUACAUUAUCAGCAUCCUCACUUCUCUUCUUGUCUUUGUCCUUCUUAAAAAAUGUCUUCAGCAUGAUUAAUUGAAGCGUGUAAAAUAUAUAAAAUUAUCGUCCGCACAAUAAAAAUUGUUCUUUGUCAGCAAAAUGUUUAAAAGGGUGGUUUCAGUUUGAUAUAAAAGUUCAUGCCUCAUCUUACAUGGAAUUUUGUCAUGGUGAUUUAACCAAUAAACUUAAUAUAUGUACUAAUUUAUGUUAUGCUUUAUGUAGUUUGGUUGCAUUUUGCUAUGAUAGACCUUGACUUCGGGUGGACGUAAUGGAAAAUGCCCAACUAUCUUACUGCUUAAUAAAUACAUCCACAAGUUUAUGGAGAAUUAAGCUAAUAGACAUGUCAGUGUUUAUCUGCCGUAACUUUCUUUGGUGUCGUGGGUUGCAUUGAAACUUUGCUACUGCUUGUGGUGUAGGUAUUUCUCUAUAUUUCAGAAUCAUGCUUGAAGCUCCAUAGAGGUAGAUGAAAGAACGUCUAUUCAUCUUGAGAGUUUCCGGCAACCCAAAUAUACUAGAAGGCAGAAUCAUUUAUGUAAAAUGAGUUCAUUAUGUAGUCGAUUAGGAUUAGGAGUGGAACAUUGCGUGCACAAACAAUUAUAUUGUAUAUUUUCAUUAUCUUGUUUGACUUCCAGGUAUGGAGGUGAGCACACGA